GUCUGUGUAGUAUACUAAUUACACUGGUCUUGUAAACCAGAAAAGAGGAAGACAUUCCCCCAAAGACA
Molecule: transfer RNA, 68 nt
Filed under: Nyctalus plancyi
Lineage: Eukaryota; Metazoa; Chordata; Mammalia; Chiroptera; Vespertilionidae
Description: tRNA-Thr
Source: RNAcentral